UGUUUUCAGUACAAUUCGAGCUAUCGUCGACGGAGCGUCGGUGUUUUGUGUAUGGGAGAAGAAGAAUAGAGAGUGGAAUAGAGCCCAAUCGACUGUGUUAGUGUGCGUAUGUUAAUAUGUACAUACUUGUACGUGCCUUUCGUGUGUUUUCUGUGAUCUAGUUUCUCGAAAACGUGACACGACGUUCGGAGGAAUCUCGCGUGAUGUUCCGAAAGUGAUUUCGAAAAUUGACGAUCCUCCAUUCUUCCUCUCCUAAACCUAGUCCUUUUCCUUCUUCGUACCUUCAAUCAUCAAAGUCAUCAUCAAAGUUUCUCAUCAUUUAAGAAUCUUUUUCAACUUGCUCAAUUUAUGUACACCGACGAACAAUUCGGAUCUUCAAAUUCGUAACGAUACCAAAGAGUAGAAGAUAGAGCAUGCUAAUUAAAAGAUGGACCUCAUCGAGCUGUAUCAUCCUAUUUUGUCUCAUUGGCACGAUAUCAAAUACCUUCGGAAACCCGAUCCGGGAAAGGCAGAAACGAGAAGCGGAAAUUGCCGCGACAAAUUGGACGAAACUAGCGGACGAAUGGCUAAAAGAGAGAGCAAGAGCCUCGGAAAAUUUUGAUGUUGCACUUUUACCCUUUAAUAAUAGAUUUCGAAAACUACCACCAACCGCAGAUAAUAUCGUUGUUAACGAAACUAAUCCCGAUCGAUUAGCACGGUUUAAUUAUUCACGAAUGCUAUGGGACAUGGAAAGCGUACAACCGAGCGGACACCUGUCAUUAUUCGUGGAUAAGGCAUUGAAGUUACUCGAUUUAAGGCAAGUGAUGACGGAAGUUGAAACUUCGGUGAUGUCAAAGGUUUCAUGUACGGCAUGUAAAGUCGGUGCUGGUUUGCUUCAGAAUUAUAUAAAAAAUGGCAAGAGUGAUAAAGAGAUCAUGGGGAGUAUAUAUCAAUUCUGUGUCUCCCUUAAUAUACAAAGUCCACGGGUUUGUGAAGGUGUCACUUUGGUAUUUGGAGCCGAAGUAAUUUAUGUUUUAAAACAAGUUGACAUGGGUCCAUCUCAAAUUUGUAGUUUCGUUAUCGGUGAUGCUUGCGAGGAUGCUUAUAAUCCUCUGCACGAAUGGGAAGUAGCUUUUCCACCUGUAAAGAAACCACCAGUAAAACCACCUGUACCACCGCAAGAAAAUGCACCAACAUUCAAAGUUUUACAUCUUUCCGAUACUCACUUUGAUCCUUAUUAUCAAGAAGGUGCAAACGCUGAUUGUAAUGAACCAUUAUGCUGCAGACUUACGAAUGGAGCUCCUUUAAUACCAUCAGCUGCAGCAGGCAGGUGGGGUGAUUACAGAAAGUGUGACACUCCAAAAAGAACUGUCGAUCAUAUGUUGAAACAUAUCGCUGAAACACAUCCCGAUAUCGAUUAUAUAUUAUGGACCGGUGAUUUACCACCUCACGAUGUAUGGAAUCAGACAAGAGAAGAGAAUCUUAAGGUUCUACAUGAUACCGUUAUGCAAAUGAUUCAAAUGUUCCCAGGUGUACCUAUAUUUCCAGCAUUAGGAAACCAUGAAAGUGCACCGGUUAAUAGCUUUCCACCACCCUUCGCACCCGAAGAAAAUAGUAUAUCGUGGCUCUACGAUGCACUGGAUAAACAUUGGAGACGUUGGUUACCUGCUGGUGUCUCACAUACGGUUCGAAGAGGGGCCUUUUAUUCGGUCUUGGUGCGGCCAGGAUUUCGAAUUCUCUCUGUGAAUAUGAAUUAUUGUAAUAAUAAAAAUUGGUGGCUUUUAAUUAACAGUACCGAUCCAGUUAGUGAAUUGCAAUGGCUCGUCUAUGAACUACAAGGUGCUGAAAUGAACGGUGAAAAGGUACAUAUAAUUGGUCAUAUACCUCCUGGUCACUCGGAUUGUUUGAAAGUAUGGUCCAGGAAUUAUUAUCACAUAAUCAAUCGAUAUGAAUCUACCAUUACGGCACAAUUUUUCGGACACACGCAUUACGACGAGUUUCAAGUAUUCUACGAUACUCAAGAUCUUCGAAGAGCUUUAAGUAUAGCUUAUUUAGGACCUUCAGUAACACCUUAUUACGAUCUCAAUCCGGGAUAUCGAAUAUAUUACGUUGAUGGAGAUCAUCCAAAAACAACUAGGAUGGUCGUCGAUCAUGAGAGUUGGGUGAUGAAUUUAAAAGAGGCAAAUCUUUAUGAUUAUCCUAUCUGGAGUAAAAUGUACAGUGCUAGACAAGCAUAUCAAAUGGCAUCGCUCCUCCCAAAGGAUUGGGAUUCGUUAAUCGAUAAAAUGUCUAACGAACCUUCUCUUUUUGAUCUUUAUUACAAACAUUAUUAUAAGAAUUCUCCUGUACGACCGUCGUGUGACGACGAAUGUCGGAAACGUCUAUUGUGCGAUCUAAGAAGUGGGAGAAGCCAUGAUCGUAAAGCAUUGUGCCAAAGCAUCGAAUCAAGAAUCGACAAUGAAACGAGAACAGGAUGGAGAGCAUGGAUCUAUAGCGGUUUGGCAUUAUCGUACGUAGAUAAAUGGUGGCAUAAUAAUUAUAACGGAGACAUUAGAACUAACAGCGUUAAUUUAUAAUUUUUCGCAUAUGCACACUAUCACUAUUGUUUAAACAUAACGCUAAAAAAUUCUUUAUAUGCAAUACUCUUAUGUGCUUCUCUGCACUCGCUAAAACCAAUAUAAUGAAUGCUUUUUUAAGUAACGAUUAACCAUAGGAACUACACGUGCGAUGGGAAAGAAAUCAUAUAAUAUCGUAUUAAUGAUUUGAUUGAUCUCUUUAUUAAUUAUUGGAUAUUUUCUAUAUCUGUAAUAUUGCGAGUUAUUAGGACAGUUAAAUAUUGGUUUAAUUUAGUUAUUAUCUAAGAAUUAUUUUCUCUUGCAUUAUACUUUUUUAGGGUUUCUAUAGAUGUAAUAUUUUUAUUUAACGGCGAAAUAUGGUUAUAUAAAUAUAUUUUUAUGAAAUAUAAAUAUAUUUUUACAAAAUAUUUAUACUUUCAUAUGAAAGAACGAAUAAAAUGAAAAUUGUUUUAAUGUUUAGAAUAAAUAAUAACUGUAACGAACAAAUCAAUAAUUAGAAUAAGAUUACUUUUAUUGGACCAUUAAGUUUAUUAAAGAAACUAUAUAUAUAUAUAUAUAUAUAAUAUAAUGUUAACUUGUGUAUAUAAUACAUUUAAUAUUAACAAAGUUAAUAUUAAACAAAAUUAACAACAAUAUAAUUGUUAUUCUAUAACAGAAAUUUUAUUAAUUUAUUUAUUUAUUGAAUUAUCAUUAAUUUGGCAUGCUUACCUUAUAUGAUCGUUUAAAUGAAUAAUAUGUAUAAAUUUUCUCUUUAUCUACAAAAUAGGUGAGUAAUUAUAAAUAAUUAUGAUUUCAAUUCAAAGACUAUUUGCAUGUUAGAAAACGCAAAUUUAUUGAUGUGGACAGAAUAGUAUAAUAUAUAUAUAAAUAUAUAAUUAAAUUUAUCUAUGUUUCAGACGUGUCUUUGCAUAUAAAUGCAUAGGUUUCUUAUGCUCGAAUAAUAGUUCAAACUAGCACAAAUAAGUAGAAAGAUGUAUUAUAAAUCAAUAAUAUAUAUUACAGGUUUCCGUAUUGUUAAUUCUAUAUAUAUGUACAUUCAAAUGCUCUUUCUAUUUCUAAUGAUCAUUUUUGAUGACAAUUUUCACAUUUUGGCACCUAACAUUUGUAAAUAGUUUUGCAAUUUAGAUAUAUUUAUUACACUGGUGAUGGAUCAUAAUAUGGUGAUUGGUACAUACUAUCAUCGCAUAUUAUCUAUUUUUAAAAUGUCCGUCGUUAUGGCUAUUCCUAGAUUCGCAUACAAUCUACCCAAGUACGUUCUAGGUCUUGGAUAGAAGAAAUUUCAAGUGAUAUGUGUAGAACAAAAAAAAAGAGAUUCAAACUGUUGUGAUAAGUUAUCAAAGAGAAUCAAAGAAUACAAAGUUCGUAAAGAAAAAAGAAAAAACUGCAAAGGAAUAUACAGAAAUAUAGUGUUAAUUUUUAUUAAGAACGAUAAUUUUAAGAACUCACUCAAAAUGAUAUUGGCCGAUCGGCUUAUCAUUAAUUUUAUAUUGUUGAUCCUCGAUCGACUAUAUAAAUUUUUAAAAGUUUAAAAUAUGUUUGAUUUUUUCGAUGAUAAUUUUAUUUAUUUAAUAAAACCACACAGAGAUUUAUUUUGCGACGAUAUGUGAACCUCUGAUACCUCAAUUUUAAUUUAUUAUGGUAAUAAAGAGUAUAAAAGAAUUAUAAAAAAACAAAAACAAAAAAGAGGUCGAGAAUGAUCGAGGAAGAAUUGUAAAUUAGUUGUUAAUAAUGCCUCAACUCAAGUAGUCAAAUAUAUACGUAACCAACGUGUAUUAUAUUACCUGUUUAGAUAAUUUUCUAUUCUAACGGUGUAAAGAGCGUAUCCAUGAUAUAUAUUCCUAUUAGGAAUCUUAAAUUUAUAAAUAUUUAACAUUAAGUGAAUGUCUGACUAUACUAAUGUUUUAAAUUUCUUCGAACAAAUGAGUAUUUACAAAGAUCAAUUUGGUCUCAAUGCAUGUUACAUUGAUUAUUUAUUAUUGAAUAAAAAAAAUUAUUUUUUA
RNA transcript from Vespula pensylvanica (western yellowjacket), 4555 nucleotides. It is a transcript of the gene named sphingomyelin phosphodiesterase, with no coding region annotated. The transcript has 11 exons. The record is from RefSeq and is a predicted model, not a curated record. NCBI's taxonomy places the organism in Eukaryota, Metazoa, Arthropoda, Insecta, Hymenoptera, Vespidae.